Molecule: ribosomal RNA, 322 nt
Filed under: uncultured eukaryote
Lineage: Eukaryota
Description: partial 18S ribosomal RNA
Rfam family: Eukaryotic small subunit ribosomal RNA
Source: RNAcentral
CCCUUAGAUGUUCUGGGCCGCACGCGUGCUACACUGAGUGGAUCAGCGGGUCAGGUUGCGCGAAAGUGUUUCCUAAUCUUUAAAUCCGCUCGUGAUGGGGAUUGACGGUUGCAAUUUUCCGUCAUGAACGAGGAAUACCUUGUAAGCGCGGGUCAUCAUCCCGCGCUGAAUACGUCCCUGCCCUUUGUACACACCGCCCGUCGCUCCUACCGAUUGACUGGUCCGGUGAGGCUUUGGGAUCUGAGCAAAGAGAGCGUUUCGCUCGUUUUGCCCGGAAAACUCAGUCGAACCUUAUCAUUAAGAGGAAGGAGAAGUCGUAACA